This 4606-nucleotide long non-coding RNA is filed under the name Hordeum vulgare. RNAcentral's name for it is "long non-coding RNA (HVUL_LNC011936)". The record is from RNAcentral. Lineage: Eukaryota; Viridiplantae; Streptophyta; Magnoliopsida; Poales; Poaceae.
CUCCACUCCUUGCAAAUCUGGAUGUGUAUCCGUUGCCUGGUGGCGUGUUGCUAUGUGUGCUAUCUUUAUCCCACAUCACGUGUUCCCUCGCUGGUCGACACCGUAACCGCAUGCUCAAGCACCAUCAAUGGCGAGCAAGAGCUUGGACAAUUGGCGCAUACCUAGAUUUUGUACACGGGGCGCGUCCGAGAACAUGUGAUACCUAUCGUCAAGGCCAAGGGCGCACAGUAGGAGAAUGUGGGAUGCUUAAUCAAGUGCGUGACACAAAACCGCAAACAGGACAAGGACAUCAAGCCGGAUCAACGGGGAACAAAGAAUGCACAGGAACGUGGGAUGCUCGAUAAACUCCAUCUGCUGCCAUUAUCCCUAGUCUCUCCACCUCCCUUGCCUUGUUUAUCAGCUAUUUUCAGUAGUGGCAUCAUCGCCUUGAGUCACUUGUGUGGCUCUCAUCUCUAUCCACCAAUAUAAUAAUCAACAUGCUCAUCUACUAAACCUANACAGUGGCAGUUAAGAUAGCAUACUAUGCUGAAGCUGUUCCUUUUGUUCCCAUCUUGUAGAUGAGCCAUAGACGUCUUAUCGCGAGCGAAUAUAAGUUUGUUCAAGGAAUGGUACAACUUAGUCACUGGCCAAUUAUAGUACCAUCUUUUUUCGGUUCAACAUGCUGGAUCCUGGACAAGCACAUCUGUCAUGAAUAACAAUAUUAAGUGUCAACAUCACAUAUGCAAUAUAGUAAGCAGCAAACGAUGAAUAACCUUCUCAGGAAAAUAGUGAUGUUCAUCAUCAGGUUUGUCCCAGCUGUGCUUACUAGCAGGCUGUAUACGGUGAUCCGUCGAUCUUUGUCUUCUUUUCCUCCAAAAACAACCCUCCAUAAGGUAGCUAACCAAAGUUAAUUUUCUAAACCUCAAUAUAAAAAAUCUACACCAUUGGUAGUCUAGUAUGGGAGAUUCAGGUAACCAUAUUAUACAAAAGGAGUAAACAUCCAUCAAACAUGCAAAAUGUUAUGCACCUAAAAUGAAAACAAAUUCCCUUCCAAGAACAUGAUGAGCUUGUAUAACAAAGAUGUGAAUAAGGAAUUGCCAAUUGUAUGUAGAGAAUGGGUAAAUUUAAUCAACAUGGAAUCUACGAGGGAUACCCAGAACAUGUUAAAAUGAAUAUCUUAAGGCAUUUUAGUGGACUUUAACUGUCAAUUUAUGGGAUUUUCAAAAACAAUCAAUUUAAGCAGCAUUUCUUUUCCCGGGACAAGCUAGUGAGUAGUACGUAGUAUCUGGAUUAAUCAACUGACUAUAUUCAUCUAAAAUCUCAUAGUCCAUCAUGAAAUUUGGUUCAAGAUCACAAUCGCCUACCUAAAUCCAUUUUUUCUUAAUUUUAUUGAAAAAAUGCUUAUUCACCAAUAUGAUAACCACCAAGCUAACCUACUAGACUUAAAUUCACAUAAUCCACCAAACACCUUAUACUGACUCGUCAAGUCACAAUCACCUAACUAUAUCCAACUAAAAUCUUAUAAUCCAUCGUGAAAUUUGAUUUAAGAUUGCAAUCACCUAACUAAAUCCAAAAUGUUUCAAACAAAAUUAAAGAUAUAUUUAUCCAUCAAUAUAAUAAUCACCAUGCUCAUUUAUCAUACCUAAACUCUCAUAACCACCGAACAUUUUAGACUAUCUUCUCAAGAUUAAAUCACGUAACUAAAUCCACCUAAAAUCUUAUAAUUCAUCAUGAAAUACAGUUCAAUAUCACAAUCACCUAACUAAAUCCAAAUUUUCCAAGAAUUAAUCCACUAAACAUUUUUUACCGUCUCCUCAAGAUCAUAGUGAACUAAAUAAAUGCAUCAAAAUCUCGAAAUCCACCAUGAAAUUGGGUCCAAGAUCACAAUUGCCUAACUAAAUCCAAAUUGCUUCAAGUUUAUUAAAGAUCCAUUUAUCCACCAAUAUAGUAACCACCAUGCUCAUUUACUAGACAUAAAUUUUCAUAAUCCACCGAACAUCUUUGACCAUCUCGUCAAGAUCACAAUCACCUAACUAAAUCUCCACGUCAUCUCCAUUUUGUAAAACCUUAUUUUCAGAAUAAUCCCAUGGGCAUUAGUGACACUCUUGAGUUUUUAUAAAACAUCUAUGAGUAACAAAGAUUCUUCCCAAGUCCUAUGAUUUACAUGACUAGCAUGGCUAAGCAUUACUAUUAAACUUGAACAUAUGAACCACAUUUAUUUGCGACUACUACAUGGUUAGGAAGGAGGGCUAUUAAGAAUGUCAAAGGAGGGUGUCAAUAGCUUUUACAAGCUCGUCAAGAUCCCAAUCACCCAACUAAAUCCAUGCAAAACCUCAUAAUCCAUCAUAAAAUUAGGUCAAAAUAUGACAAUCACCUAACUAAAUCCAUUUUUUUCCUAAUUAACUUAAAUAUUUGUUUAUCCACCAAUAUAAUAAUCCUCAUGCUUAUCUUGUAGACCAAAAAUCUCAUAAUCCACCAAACUUCCUCGACUAUCUUUUGAAGACACAAUCACCUAACUAAAUCCAACUAAAAUCUCAUAAAUCACCGAGAACCUAAUUAAAUCCAAAUUGUUCAAAAUUAGUUAAUCCACGAACAACUUUGACAUCUCCCCAAGACCACAAUCUACUAACUAAAUCCAUUGAAAAUCUCGUAAUCCACCGCAAAAUUUGUUCAAGAUCACAAUUGCCUAACUACAUCCAGAUUGCUCCAUGUUUACUAAAGAUCCAUUUAUCCACCAAUAUAAUAACCAUCAUGGUCCCUUACUAGACCUAAAUUUUACUACAUUUCAUCAAUCAUCUCUGACUAUCUAUUUAAGAUCACAGUCAUCUAACUAAAUCCAACAAAGCCUCAAAAUCCCAUCAUGAAUUUGGUUGAAAAAAUACGAUCACCUAACUAAAUCAAAAUUGUUCCAAACUAAAUUAAAGAUAUGUUUAUCCACCAAUAUAAAUUCACCAUUCUCAUCUUCUAAACCUAAAAUCUCACAGUCAAGCAAACAUCUUUAACUAUAUUCUCAAGACACAAUCAUUUAACUAAAUCCACGUAAAAUCUCAUAAUCCAGCGUGAAAUUCGGUUUAGUAUCACGGCCACCUAAGUAAAUUCAAAUUGUCCAAGAUUAAUUAAUCCACCAAACAUAUUUAGAGUAUCUCCUCAAAAUAGCCAUCAACUAACCAAUCCAUCAAAAAUCUCAUAAUUCACAAUAAAAUUUGGUUCAAGGCCACAAUCGGCUAAUUAAAUCCAAAUUGUUUUAAAUUUAUUAAAGAUUCAUUUAUUUACCAAAUAAUAAUCAACAUGCUCACCUAUUAGACCUAAAUUCACAUAAUCCACCGAAAAUAUUUUACUAAGUCGUCGAAAUAAAAAACACCUAACUAAAACCAACCAAAACACCCACCGUAAAAUUAGUUUAAAAGAUCACAAUCACCUAACUAAAUCCAAAUUGUUUCAAACUAAAUUAAAUAUAUGUUUAUCCACCAAUAUAAUAAUCAUCAUGCUCAUCUACUAGACCUAAAAUCUCAUAAUCCACCAAACAUCUCUGAUUAUCAUCUCAAGACACAAUCACCUAACUAAAUCCAACUAAAAUCUCAUAAAUCACAAAAUAAUAGUUCAAUAUCACAAUCACCUAACUAAAUCCAUAUUCUUCAAGAUCAAUUCAUCCACCAAAUUUUUUUGACUCUCUCCUCAAGAUCACAACCACCUAAAUCCAUUGAAAAAUCUCGUAAUCCAUCAUGCAAUUUGUUCAAGAUCACAAUCGCCUAACUAAAUCCAAAUUGUUCCAUGUUUACUAAAGAAGUCGCUACUUUAUUGGAGAUUGAGGUUUCUUCUAUCUCUAAUGGCUUCUUUAUUUCCUAAGAGAAGUAUAUCUAGGAUAUUCUUACUCAUGCUGCUUUGAUGAGCACACUGUUGAGACUCCUAUGGAGCUCAACAUCCACUUUUGUGUCNNNNNNNNNNNNNNNNNNNNNNNNNNNNNNNNNNNNNNNNNNNNNNNNNNNNNNNNNNNNNNNNNNNNNNNNNNNNNNNNNNNNNNNNNNNNNNNNNNNNAACCAACCAAAACACCCACCGUAAAAUUAGGUUAAAAGAUCACAAUCACCUAACUAAAUCCAAGUUGUUUAAAACUAAAUUAAACAUAUGUUUACCCACCAAUAUAAUAAUCACCAUGCUCAUCUACUAGAUCUAAAAUCUCAGAAUCCACGAAACAUCUCUGAUUAUCAUCUCAAGACACAAUCACCUAACUAAAUCCAACUAAAAUCCCAUAAAUCACGAAAAAAUAGUUUAAUAUCACACUCACCUAACUAAAUCCAUAUUGUUCAAGAUCAAUUAAUCCACCAAACAUUUUUGACUAUCUCCUAAAGAACACAAUCACCUAAAUCCAUUGAAAAAUCUCGUAAUCCAUCAUGCAAUUUGUUCAAGAUCACAAUCGCCUAACUAAAUCCAAAUUGUUCCAUGUUUACUAAAGAAGUCACUACUUUCUUGGAGACUGAGGUUUCUUCUAUCUCUAAUGGCAUCUUUAUUUCCUAAGAGAAGUAUAUCUAGGAUCUUCUUACUCAUGAUGCUGUGAUGAGCACACUCUUGAGACUCCUAUGGAGCCCAACAUCCACUUUUGUGUCCACCUCCGCUCCUGGUAAAUCCGGAU